This 450-nucleotide ribosomal RNA is filed under the name uncultured bacterium. Its description in RNAcentral is "partial 16S ribosomal RNA". It matches the Rfam family "Bacterial small subunit ribosomal RNA", at positions 338 to 795 of the family's 1533-position model. The record is from RNAcentral.
CCUACGGGUGGCAGCAGUAGGGAAUAUUGGACAAUGGGGGCAACCCUGAUCCAGCCAUGCCGCGUGAGUGAAGAAGGCCCUCGGGUUGUAAAGCUCUUUUGUCCGGAAAGAAAAGCUUCGGGUUAAUACCCCGGGGUUCUGACGGUACCGGAAGAAUAAGCACCGGCUAACUUCGUGCCAGCAGCCGCGGUAAUACGAAGGGUGCAAGCGUUACUCGGAAUUACUGGGCGUAAUUGGUGCGUAGGUGUGUGGAAGCCCUGGGCUCAACCUGGGAAUGGCAUUGGAAACUGGGCAGCUAGAGUGCGGUAGAGGGUAGUGGAAUUCCCGGUGUAGCAGUGAAAUGCGUAGAGAUCGGGAGGAACAUCUGUGGCGAAGGCGACUGCCUGGACCAGCACUGACACUGAGGCACGAAAGCGUGGGGAGCAAACAGGAUUAGAUACCCUGGUAGUC